Molecule: RNase P RNA, 215 nt
Filed under: Gammaproteobacteria bacterium
Lineage: Bacteria; Pseudomonadati; Pseudomonadota; Gammaproteobacteria
Description: partial RNase P RNA component class A
Rfam family: Bacterial RNase P class A
About the family: Ribonuclease P (RNase P) is a ubiquitous endoribonuclease, found in archaea, bacteria and eukarya as well as chloroplasts and mitochondria. Its best characterised activity is the generation of mature 5'-ends of tRNAs by cleaving the 5'-leader elements of precursor-tRNAs.
Source: RNAcentral
UAUAUUAUUAGUAAGGGUGAAAAGGUGAGGUAAGAGCUCACCACAUGCAAGGUAACAAGUAUGGUGAAGCAAACCCCACUAGGAGCAAGGCAAAUUUAUAGCAUUUUGUCAGCCUAAGACACGCUAUAUGGUAAGCUGCUAGAGAUUUUUGGUGACAAAAAUUCGAGAUUAAUGAUCAUACAUGACAGAACCCGGCUUAUAGGCUGGCUCUCCGC